GAAUAUUGGACAAUGGGCGAAAGCCUGAUCCAGCCAUGCCGCGUGUGUGAAGAAGGUCUCCGGAUUGUAAAGCACUCUAAGUUGGGAGGAAGGGCAGUAAGCGACUACCGUGCUGUUUUGACGUUACCGACAGAAUAAGCACGGGCUAUCUCUGUGCCAGCAGCCGCGGUAAUACAGAGUGUGCACGUGUUAAUCGGAAUUACUGGGCGUAAAGGGCGCGUAGGUGGUUCGUUAAGUUGGAUGUGAAAUCCCCGGGCUCAACCUGGGAACUGCAUCCAAAACUGGCGGGCUAGAGUAGGGCAGAGGGUGGGGGAAUUUCCUGUGUAGCGGUGAAAUGCGUAGAUAUAGGAAGGAACACCAGUGGCGAAGGCGACCACCUGGGCUCAUACUGACACUGAGGUGCGAAAGCGUGGGGAGCAAACA
RNAcentral lists this ribosomal RNA (423 nucleotides) under uncultured bacterium. RNAcentral describes it as "partial 16S ribosomal RNA". It matches the Rfam family "Bacterial small subunit ribosomal RNA", at positions 359 to 774 of the family's 1533-position model. The record is from RNAcentral.